GAUGAAGAACGUAGCGAAAUGCGAUAAGUAGUGUGAAUUGCAGAAUUCAGUGAAUCAUCGAAUCUUUGAACGCACAUUGCGCCCUUUGGUAUUCCGUAGGGCAUGCCUGUUCGAGCGUCAUUUAAACCUUCAAGCUAAGCUUGGUGUUGGGUGACUGUCCGCCUCACGGCGGACUCGCCUCAAAAUUAUUGGCGGCCGGUACAUUGGCUUCGAGCGCAGCAGAAACGCGAACUCGGGCCCGUCGUAUUGGCUCCCAGAAGCUAUCUUCACAAUUUUGACCUCGGAUCAGGUAGGGAUACCCGCUGAACUUAAGCAUAUCAAUAAGCGGAGGA
This 332-nucleotide unclassified non-coding RNA is filed under the name soil metagenome. RNAcentral's name for it is "partial contains 5.8S ribosomal RNA, internal transcribed spacer 2, and large subunit ribosomal RNA". The stretch from base 1 to 120 matches the Rfam family "5.8S ribosomal RNA", at positions 35 to 154 of the family's 154-position model. The record is from RNAcentral.